UUUUGCCUACGGGAGGCAGCAGUGGGGAAUAUUGCACAAUGGGGGAAACCCUGAUGCAGCGACGCCGCGUGAGUGAAGAAGUAUUUCGGUAUGUAAAGCUCUAUCAGCAGGGAAGAGAAUGACGGUACCUGAGUAAGAAGCCCCGGCUAACUACGUGCCAGCAGCCGCGGUAAUACGUAGGGGGCAAGCGUUAUCCGGAUUUACUGGGUGUAAAGGGAGCGUAGACGGCGAAGAAAGUCUGAAGUGAAAGCCCGCGGCUCAACCGCGGAACUGCUUUGGAAACUUUUUUGCU
This 292-nucleotide ribosomal RNA is filed under the name uncultured bacterium. RNAcentral's name for it is "partial 16S ribosomal RNA". It matches the Rfam family "Bacterial small subunit ribosomal RNA", at positions 333 to 642 of the family's 1533-position model. The record is from RNAcentral.